Long non-coding RNA from Equus asinus (donkey), 1383 nucleotides. The record is from Ensembl. Lineage: Eukaryota; Metazoa; Chordata; Mammalia; Perissodactyla; Equidae.
AAGAACACUUUCAGAGAAGAAUGCAUCUUAUAUCUGACUCCUGGACUAACCUGAGAAUAGUUUUGGCAACUUGUCCAUUCCUACUCCCGGUUUUCAACGUCCAUAAUGGCUGACAUGAGGGACUAAACCCUGAUUGACUUCUGGAAAUCAACCCUUCUCUGCUCUCAGUCCACAUAGUGUGAGUGCAACUGACCAUUCUUCCCUGAGGAGACAGAUCUGAGACCUACACACAACCAGAACAUUAUACACCCCUGGCUGCAAUGAAUGAUUUGGUCACAGGCAUGUGACACUGCCAGACCCUCUAGGGUGCCUAGAAGCUUUUUCUAAGACUUUUAGGCACCAGGCUCCCAAAGAAUUGAAGAUGGGCUCCGUAGUGCUCCAGAAAACAUCAUUUUCUCAGUCCUUGUUUUUGCCUACUGGACUUCCAUGGCUACUCAGUCUGCAGGGCCAUUAUGUUUAGGUUUCCAAGGAAUCAGCACUCUGGUCCUGCAGACUGGACCCAAACUGAGGCCGAAGACCACACAUUUGGCCGCUUGCCUCUUGCCUCAGCAACCCUCCCCCAGUUCAUGUAAAGAGAGUGGGUUAUGGUGACCCUUCAUGUUUUACAGAUCUAAUACAACUCACAGAUGCAUCAGCUUCAUUUGCCACUUUCAAUGAUGUGUUAAUACUUUAUCUCUCCCACCCUAACACAUCAUUCACCCAUUGUCCUCUUGAUAUAUUUUCAUUCUCUUUCCAACUUCUUCCAAUAACUGAAGAGGUUCUUAAAAGUGAACAUUUACCUGAACUUCCGCCCUAACAUACUUAGUUGAGCCGUAAAAUUCUGCCUAAAUAGGAUAAGAUAGAGAUGCCAAAAUUCUCAAUCUUAUAACCUUGGACCAGACUCUGAAUUUACUCUUGCAUUUUUAAUGCUCUGCAUUACUUGCUAUGAAGCAAUAAAUAGAAGGGAUGGAGUUAUUUAAGCAGUUUGUGAAAAUUUUGAUUUAAUGUGUGUUAUUAUAUUUCUUAUAGUUAACCAUAAAAAUUAGACUGUGGCAACUUUGGAAUUCCUCUAAAUUAACGACAAGCCGUUUGCAGAAGGGUAGGCUAAAAGACUUGUCUUGAAGCUGUGCUUGCAUUUUUGUGGGUAGCUAUGUGGGAAGUGAGCUGAUAGACAUUGUAUAGGGACUAACUCUCCCUACUUCCAUUCCCAAUCAUGUCUUAAUUUACAAUUGUCUCAUAAAGGAGGUUGCAAUUGCUGAAAGUAUUCAUUCUGAAAUUGAAAAAAAUACACUAAAAGACAUCUAAUUGUCUCCUGGGAUAAAGCUAUGGUUACCAUUAUUAAAAUCUCUCGAUAGCUGUGGAUUUGACAGAAACUUCCUAACAUUAUUUCAAUGACAUGAAGCU